AUCCCUGAGUGUGAGAGUAGACCUUCUUACUCCCAGUCUUUUUCUCAGUGAGUCCCCUCUGAGGACAGCUGGGAAAAAGCUGAAUGAAACCUGCCUCAUUGUUUAUGCAUUAUAACUUCCAUAUGGGUCAGAAGUCUAUAAUUAAGGGUUUCCAAAAAAAACAAGAGACUCCCCCUUUUUUCUUUUAGAAACAACUUUAUUGAAGUAUAAUUUAAAUACCAUAAAAUUCACCUGUUUCAGGGUAUAAUUUUUUAUAAAUUUAAUGAGUUGUGCCGCCAUCAACACAAUCCAGUUUGGAAAAUUUCUGUCACCCUAGUGAGAUCCCUUGUACCAGAGAACCUGUCCCCACCUCCACCCUAUGCAACCAUUAAGCAAAUUUCUGUCUCUCUAAAUUUGCCUUUUUUGGGAUAUUUCAUAUAAGUGGAAUCAUGUAAUAUGUGAUCUUUUGUCUGCUUAGAGGGCCCAUUUUUUUUUGUCUUUAAGGUGGGCCAAGAUCUUACUUUGAUACUUGUGCUUGGUUGACAAGACUGUGGGAAAUCUCACAGACAAUCUCACACAGAUCUGCUGGGGAUAUAAAUUGGUAACACAUCUUUAAAGGGGUGACACCUCUGGACACUUCCUGAAGGCCUUGCUGGCUAUCUGUGGAGGCGAUGACGAGGGCCACCGGCUCUGACGGCACUCCUGCUGAGAAAUGGUCAGCAGCACCGCCCGCCGUGACCACGCCCAAUAGCUCUAGAGACUAAGGAAGGGGUGGGGUGGGGGGAGGGCUCAGCAUGGCUCAGGUCUUCAGCUGAGGUUAGAAAAGGCUCCCCUUACCGCAGGCCACCAAUGGCCCGGCUCGGUCACACCCCUGCGCACAUCUGAGCGGCUGAAGAACCAUAGCCAUCGAUCCCGUCCACGUCCGCUCUCCGUCUUCCUCCUCAGCCCUUCCCAGCUUCUGUCCUUUGCCACAGCCUCUGCCCUGGUUUGGAUUUGAUCAAAUCCAAAAACAUACUGAGCCUCUGUCUGUGAAAUGAGUGAUGUCUGUGCUUCAAAUGGUGGGGUGUGGUGGCGGGUGCCAGCUGAGGGUACUGCGGGAGGGGAGGGAGUGACGAGCCUCCCGGCAUUUCACUGCCCACCUCCUUCCAGGUCGUGCACUAGAGCACUGAACCGGGAGUCCAGAUCCGGGGCAUCUGCAUUCACUUGCUUUCUGCGCUUGGGCCAGUCUCUUUCCAUCCCUGAGUCUCUGUUUCCUUAUCUACAAAGUGAGAGAGUUGGACAAAAAUCUUGGCUUUCUCUUCUAACAUUCUCAGAUGUGUCUCCAAAUCAUUCUCUUUCCCCUUCUUUCUUUAAAUAAAAAGAGACACAUAAAUACACAAA
Non-coding RNA from Manis javanica (Malayan pangolin), 1359 nucleotides. Lineage: Eukaryota; Metazoa; Chordata; Mammalia; Pholidota; Manidae. The record is from RefSeq and is a predicted model, not a curated record.